GAACGCUGGCGGAAUGCUUUACACAUGCAAGUCGAGCGGCAGCGCGGGGGCAACCCUGGCGGCGAGCGGCGAACGGGUGAGUAAUGCAUCGGAACGUACCCAGUAAUGGGGGAUAACUAUCCGAAAGGAUGGCUAAUACCGCAUACGCCCUGAGGGGGAAAGCGGGGGAUCGCAAGACCUCGCGUUAUUGGAGCGGCCGAUGUCCGAUUAGCUAGUUGGUGGGGUAAAGGCCUACCAAGGCGACGAUCGGUAGCUGGUCUGAGAGGACGACCAGCCACACUGGAACUGAGACACGGUCCAGACUCCUACGGGAGGCAGCAGUGGGGAAUUUUGGACAAUGGGGGCAACCCUGAUCCAGCCAUUCCGCGUGAGUGAAGAAGGCCUUCGGGUUGUAAAGCUCUUUCGGCAGGAACGAAACGGUGCGGGCCAAUACCCUGCAUCAAUGACGGUACCUGAAGAAGAAGCACCGGCUAACUCCGUGCCAGCAGCCGCGGUAAUACGGAGGGUGCAAGCGUUGUUCGGAAUUAUUGGGCGUAAAGGGCGUGUAGGUGGCUUGCCAAGUCUGGUGUGAAAGCCCACGGCUCAACCGUGGAACUGCAUUGGAAACUGGCAAGCUCGAGUGUUGGAGGGGGUCGCGGAAUUCCCGGUGUAGAGGUGAAAUUCGUAGAUAUCGGGAGGAACACCAGUGGCGAAGGCGGCGACCUGGCCAAUCACUGACACUGAGACGCGAAAGCGUGGGGAGCAAACAGGAUUAGAUACCCUGGUAGUCCACGCCGUAAACGAUGGGUGCUAG
RNAcentral lists this ribosomal RNA (793 nucleotides) under uncultured bacterium. RNAcentral describes it as "bacterial SSU rRNA". It matches the Rfam family "Bacterial small subunit ribosomal RNA", at positions 31 to 819 of the family's 1533-position model. The record is from RNAcentral.